GGCGCACGGGUGAGUAACGCGUAGGCAACCUGCCGCAGAGUGGGGAAUAACCCCGAGAAAUCGGAGCUAAUACCGCAUAUAGUGUUGAAUCGCAUGAUUCGGCAUAAAAGCCUUCGGGCGCUCUGCGAUGGGCCUGCGUUGGAUUAGCUUGUUGGUAGGGUAACUGCCUACCAAGGCAACGAUCCAUAGCUGGUCUGAGAGGAUGAUCAGCCACACUGGCACUGAGACACGGGCCAGACUUCUACGGAAGGCAGCAGUGAGGAAUAUUGCGCAAUGGGCGAAAGCCUGACGCAGCCACGCCGCGUGCAGGAUGACACCCCUACGGGACGUAAACUGCUUUUGUGCGAGAAGAAUCCCCCGAACGUGUUCGGGGUUGACGGUAUCGCGCGAAUAAGGACCGGCUAACUCCGUGCCAGCAGCCGCGGUAAUACGGAGGGUCCAAGCGUUGUCCGGAUUCAUUGGGUGUAAAGGGUGCGCAGGCGGGCCUGUAAGUCAGAGGUGAAAUCCCGCGGCCUAACCGUGGAACUGCCUUUGAUACUGCAGGUCUUGAGUCCUGGAGAGGUCACCGGAAUUCGUGGUGUAGCGGUGAAAUGCGUAGAUAUCACGAGGAACGCCGGAGGUGUAGACGGGUGACUAGACAGGUACUGACGCUGAGGCACGAAAGCGUGGGGAGCAAACAGGAUUAAUACUGGUAUCCACGCUGUAAACGAUGGAUACUCGGUG
RNAcentral lists this ribosomal RNA (723 nucleotides) under uncultured Bacteroidota bacterium. RNAcentral describes it as "bacterial SSU rRNA". It matches the Rfam family "Bacterial small subunit ribosomal RNA", at positions 97 to 822 of the family's 1533-position model. Lineage: Bacteria; Pseudomonadati; Bacteroidota. The record is from RNAcentral.